Molecule: ribosomal RNA, 536 nt
Filed under: uncultured Lachnospiraceae bacterium
Lineage: Bacteria; Bacillati; Bacillota; Clostridia; Lachnospirales; Lachnospiraceae
Description: partial 16S ribosomal RNA
Source: RNAcentral
CACGUAGUUAGCCGGGGCUUCUUGGUCGGGUACCGUCCGCGGCUCUCGCGAACCGUGUUUCUUCCCCGCUGACAGAGCUUUACGCGCCGAAACGCUUCUUCACUCACGCGGCGUCGCUGCAUCAGGGUUUCCCCCAUUGUGCAAUAUUCCCCACUGCUGCCCCCCGUAGGAGUUUGGGCCGUGUCUCAGUCCCAAUGUGGCCGUCCGCCCUCUCAGGCCGGCUACUGAUCGUCGCCUUGGUGGGCCGUUACCCCGCCAACCAGCUAAUCAGACGCGGGUCCAUCCCGUACCACCGGAGUUUUCAAGAAGGACAUGCGUCCCCUUCUGUUAUGCGGUAUUAGCACCUGUUUCCAGGUCGUUAUCCCCCGGUACGGGGCAGGUUCCCCACGCGUUACUCACCCGUCCGCCACUAAGGCCCGCGCCUUCCGGGUCUGGUAACCAUCCCCUUCCGCCGCUGGCCCCCGUUCGACCUUGCACUGUCGUUACGGCACGCCGCCACGCCGUUCACUCCUGACGCCCGAGGACUCCAAACUCCU